UACCUACGUAUUGAGCCUGGGUGGGAGGC
This 29-nucleotide small RNA is filed under the name Bombyx mori (domestic silkworm). RNAcentral describes it as "ovarian small RNA-20825". Lineage: Eukaryota; Metazoa; Arthropoda; Insecta; Lepidoptera; Bombycidae. The record is from RNAcentral.